CUAGUAGUGUACAUAACUCAUUAAUAGGCGCCAAAAGGGGAAGAAAUGAUGGAGGACUAGAAAACGAAAACUCGCCUUUGCCAGUGGCACAUUGAAAGAGCUAUCAUAACAUUAUAGACACAGGUGGCACUACAAUCCAGCAGGAAAAUUGUUGAUUUGCCUUUGUUCCAGUCUGUCCUCGCCAUUCGCUUUCUACGGAAUCCGGGUAAGCAGCUUUGCCAGCAGCACACUGAAAGAGCUAUCAUAACAUUAUAGACACAGGUGGCACUACAAUCCAGCAGGAAAAUUGCUGAUUUGCCCUUGUUCCAGUCUGUCCUCGCCAUUCACUUUGUACGAAAUCCGGAUUCGCAUCGCAAGUGGUUUCUAUGCAGAAGCAAUUCAAAAUCAGAUAUUAGAAUCGCAAAGAAAUAAGAGAGAAUGGUGACUUGUGACAUAAUCCAAGUCUACCAAAGAAUCCUCAAUGUUCCAACCCGGCUGACUAUAGGAUGUUUCAGUAAUGGAUUGAGUGCUUGCUUCCCUGGGGAAGUCCAAUAUGCUAGGUUCAUGUGCACCCAGCCACCCGUUUGUGAGUUUGUACACUUAAAAAAAUACUAAAAAAACCAUGCUGCUACAAAGUACUAAUCUAGGUCCAGGUACAAGAAAUCAUGAAAAAAUAACAUAUGCGUCAUGUACCAAAAAAAAAAGAGAUGUUAAGUUAUAGAACAAAGGGAUGCUCUUAUUCUUUUUCUAUGCAGCACAUAAACUAUAAUAUUCUUUGACAAAUUUGUGUAAAUGUACCUGAUUAACAUUUCAUAGUGCCAUGAUUUUUUUUUUCCGAACUCUUUAAAGUGCACAAGCAAGCAAAUUCGCUAAGGGUUGCCUAUGAACCUAUGUUGCUUCCUUGUCACUGUAUGAAGCAUUUGGCUGUGUAUAGAUAACAAAACCAAUUCUAGACACACACCACCAACAAACAUAGAAGGUAGAACUGAUUGCAAUGUCAGAGAACAGAUGUUUACUCAACAAUAGAAGAGAAGAUUGAAUAAUAACAAAAAUAUACUUAAAGAGUUGAAAUUAAAACCUAG
Molecule: long non-coding RNA, 1061 nt
Filed under: Brachypodium distachyon (stiff brome)
Lineage: Eukaryota; Viridiplantae; Streptophyta; Magnoliopsida; Poales; Poaceae
Description: long non-coding RNA (BDIS_LNC000939)
Source: RNAcentral